GUAUUACUUUCUCAAUUCCAUUUACAAGCCAUCUUUCGAUGUCAGUUAUUCUGGAUGCGAGGAAAUAUUCUCUUAAGAUGACAUAUAUUGACAUGCUCUGACAUUAAUGACCAACAGCCAGAACUUUGGAGUCAUACGUACUAGCAAGAACUAAUGAUAUAACAUCCGUUUGCAUCACUUUACUUACAAAUACUACUGGGGUCAAACAGAAUGUCAUAUAAAUCGACAACGAGGUCAACUCAUCUGCAUUUGAUACUACAGCAGUGCACUGAGCAAUGAAUACAUCCGAUGACGUUGAUUUGAAAACAGCACAACUAUGCUCCCCAUCUGUGGAAAGAAUGGUCCUUUCAGUUCCAGCUACAAAUUCUACAUACAGAGGAUGUCUAGAUUCCCAGAAAAGAACGGUACAGAAGUAAUUUUGUGAAAUGGAAAGUCGCAGACAUCAUUAAAGAAGCAGAUUAUCCUGAGCAGACAUCUGCGUUUAAUGGGAACAAUUGCGCAACGUCAUUCCCCAUAAGAAGAUUGACUGCAUUUACAGCUAUUGGCAAAUAGUACGGAGAGCAGCUGUCCAGACGGCCAGAAAACAUUUUAUUGUUUGACACAGAAGUAAUAUCGGCUGGAUAACUUUUGACACUUAAUAGAUACCAGCUUGCGUGAUAAAGGUAUGCCACCAACCACAGUAUUUUCUCAGUUUCGUACACAUGCCAUCCAUCUAUAUCACUCUUCCUGGAUGCGAGGAAGUAUUCGCUUAAGAUACGUCUAUGUAUCCAAAGGCACAAUAGACAUGUUUUGCCCGAAAUGACCAUGGCUCAACAGGAAAUACCUGGAAUCUUCAACAGGAUUUUGGAAUAUGAACCGUUUUUAAAUUUAUAGUCGGUGAUCCAACAGAUUUAUUUGAUAGUUUUAAGAGCUAGAAAUAUUGAACCAAGUUCAAAAUGCAUCGUCUUUGGUACUCGCAAAUUACGAAAACUUACAUUCAAUAUGCACAGUGGAUUGAAAGUGAAAGGUUUAUAAUCUCUCCAUAUGCCAGACAAGUGGUUUCAAAGAAACGAGAUCAGAAUCAUGUGGAUUUAACAUGCGUAACUU
Argiope bruennichi is the source of this 1086-nucleotide long non-coding RNA. RefSeq lists it as uncharacterized. Lineage: Eukaryota; Metazoa; Arthropoda; Arachnida; Araneae; Araneidae. The record is from RefSeq and is a predicted model, not a curated record. The transcript is spliced from 5 exons.